RNAcentral lists this ribosomal RNA (465 nucleotides) under uncultured bacterium. RNAcentral describes it as "bacterial SSU rRNA". It matches the Rfam family "Bacterial small subunit ribosomal RNA", at positions 338 to 795 of the family's 1533-position model. The record is from RNAcentral.
CCUACGGGUCGCAGCAGUGGGGAAUAUUGCACAAUGGGCGCAAGCCUGAUGCAGCCAUGCCGCGUGUAUGAAGAAGGCCUUUGGGUUGUAAAGUUCUUUCAGCGGGGAGGAAGGUGUUGUGGUUAAUAACCGCAGCAAUUGACGUUACCCGCAGAAGAAGCACCGGCUAACUCCGUGCCAGCAGCCGCGGUAAUACGGAGGGUGCAAGCGUUAAUCGGAAUUACUGGGCGUAAAGCGCACGCAGGCGGUUGAUUAAGUUAGAUGUGAAAUCCCCGGGCUUAACCUGGGAAUGGCAUCUAAGACUGGUCAGCUAGAGUCUUGUAGAGGGGGGUAGAAUUCCAUGUGUAGCGGUGAAAUGCGUAGAGAUGUGGAGGAAUACCGGUGGCGAAGGCGGCCCCCUGGACAAAGACUGACGCUCAGGUGCGAAAGCGUGGGGAGCAAACAGGAUUAGAUACCCGCGUAGUC